GCAGGAGCAGUCAACUCACCGCAGUGAAGACACCAUAUGUCUGGGAGCCCCAGUCUUGGACCAUGAUCCCACUGCUAGGCACAGUACAAACACAGAACACACAGAUGGUUCUUGCCCCCAUCUAAGCUGUCCUCCCUUGUGUUCACCUGACCAUGGACUCUUACAAAACACCUGAUGGGAAAGGACAGCUUGCCUUGUUGACUGAGGCAAUUUUUCCGCUGCUGGACAAAGCCUACAUAAGGAGUUCCUGCCACCUGAAAUGCCCUCUCUCUCCAUCUCAGACUUUAUCUCAAAUUAAAGAAAUCAGCAGAUGUGGAUAAUGGAUGAAGAAUGCAUAUUCGUGGGAUGAAAAAUGCUUUAGAGACCUGCUUCUGCCACCAACAGUAAAGGUUGUUAAAUAUAUGAUCUCAGACCAACCUAGUAUUGUGUAAGGUGUCUUUCUUCCAUGUCACAUUUCAGUACUAACUUUACUAAUUAAGAAUCCAUGAACUUGUGAGCUAAUAAGUCUCACCUUACCUUUAAAU
Molecule: long non-coding RNA, 524 nt
Organism: Dermochelys coriacea (leatherback sea turtle)
Lineage: Eukaryota; Metazoa; Chordata; Testudines; Dermochelyidae
Exons: 5
Source: RefSeq, a predicted model, not a curated record